Molecule: transfer RNA, 75 nt
Filed under: Candidatus Pacearchaeota archaeon RBG_13_36_9
Lineage: Archaea; Nanobdellati
Description: tRNA-Pro
Rfam family: tRNA
About the family: Transfer RNA (tRNA) molecules are approximately 80 nucleotides in length.
Source: RNAcentral
GGGGAUGUCGGCUAGUCUGGUUUAGGCUUCAAGCCUUGGGAGUUUGCGACCCAGGUUCAAAUCCUGGCAUCCCCA